Molecule: ribosomal RNA, 2380 nt
Filed under: Apilactobacillus kunkeei
Lineage: Bacteria; Bacillati; Bacillota; Bacilli; Lactobacillales; Lactobacillaceae
Description: 23S ribosomal RNA (partial)
Rfam family: Bacterial large subunit ribosomal RNA
Source: RNAcentral
UAAAACCAUUUGCAAACACACCAAUUAUUCAUAAUAUUUCCAUAAAUUACUUUAAUGGGUGAUGGCGUGCCUCUUGUAGAAUGAACCGGCGAGUUAUGCUAACAUGCAAGGUUAAGGGGAAAAGUCCGGAGCCGUAGCGAAAGCGAGUCUGAAUAGGGCGUUACAGUAUGUUGGGAUAGACCCGAAACCAGGUGAUCUACCCAUGUUCAGGCUGAAAGUGCGGUAAAACGCACCGGAGGGCCGAACCCGUGUACGUUGAAAAGUGCUGGGAUGAAAUGUGGGUAGCGGUGAAUUCCAAACGAACUUGGAGAUAGCUGGUUCUCUCCGAAAUAGCUUUAGGGCUAGCCUCGAACUUAGAAUCAUGGAGGUAGAGCACUGUUUGGGUGAGGGGCCCGUCAUGGGUUACUAAAUUCAGAUAAACUCCGAAUACCAUUGAUUUAUAUGUCCGGGAGUCAGACGAUGAGUGAUAAGAUCCACCGUCGAAAGGGGAACAGCCCAGACCACCAAUUAAGGUCCCUAAAUAUAUGCUGAGUGGAAAAGGAUGUGGAGUUGCAUAGACAACUAGGAUGUUGGCUCAGAAGCAGCCACCAUUUAAAGAGUGCGUAAUAGCUCACUAGUCGAGUGAUUCUGCGCCGAAAAUUUACCGGGGCUAAGCAUAUUACCGAGAUUGUGGACAUGACGUAGUCAUGUGAUAGGAGAGCGUUCUAAGGGCAACGAAGGUAGACCGUAAGGACUGCUGGAGCGCUUAGAAGUGAGAAUGCCGGUAUGAGUAGCGAAAGAAUAGUGAGAAUCUAUUCCACCGAUUGACUAAGGUUUCCUGGGGAAGGCUCGUCCUCCCAGGGUAAGUCGGGACCUAAGCCGAGGCCUAGAGGCGUAGGCGAUGGAUAACAGGUUGAGAUUCCUGUACUAGUUAAUUAUGUUUGAGCGAUGGAGGGACGUAGAAGGCUAACCUGUGCGCACUGUUGGAUAUGUGCGUUCAAGUAGUAAGUCAGGUAAUGAGUGAAAUGCUUGUUACCGUGUUGACAAGCUGUGAUGAGGAUCGAAAUAAAGUAGAGAAGUGGGCCAUGUCACGCUACCGAGAAAAGCUUCUAGUGAGUAAUUAACUACCCGUACCGCAAACCGACACAGGUAGUCAAGGAGAGUAUCCUAAGGUGAGCGAGUGAACUCUCGUUAAGGAACUCGGCAAAAUGACCCCGUAACUUCGGGAGAAGGGGUGCUGCACGCAAGUGCAGCCGCAGUGAAAAGGCUCAGGCGACUGUUUUAUCAAAAACACAGGUUUCUGCAAAAUCGUAAGAUGAAGUAUAGGGGCUGACGCCUGCCCGGUGCUGGAAGGUUAAGUGGAUGAGUUAGCUUCGGCGAAGCCCAGAAACGAAGCCCCAGUAAACGGCGGCCGUAACUAUAACGGUCCUAAGGUAGCGAAAUUCCUUGUCGGGUAAGUUCCGACCCGCACGAAAGGCGUAACGAUCUGAGCACUGUCUCAACGAGAGACUCGGUGAAAUUGAGAUACCUGUGAAGAAGCAGGUUACCCGCGACAGGACGGAAAGACCCCAUGGAGCUUUACUGUAAUUUGAUAUUGGGUGUUGACAUAGCUUGUACAGGAUAGGUAGGAGCCGUGGAAACCGGGACGCUAGUUUCGGUGGAGGCAUUGUUGGGAUACUACCCUCGCUGUGCUAACACUCUAACCCGCACCACUUAUCGUGGUGGGAGACAGUGUCUGAUUGGCAGUUUGACUGGGGCGGUCGCCUCCUAAACAGUAACGGAGGCGCCCAAAGGUUCCCUCAGAAUGGUUGGAAAUCAUUCUUCGAGUGUAAAGGCAAAAGGGAGCUUGACUGCGAGACAGACAGGUCGAGCAGGGACGAAAGUCGGGCUUAGUGAUCCGGUGGUACCGUAUGGAAGGGCCAUCGCUCAACGGAUAAAAGCUACCCUGGGGAUAACAGGCUUAUCUCCCCAAGAGUUCACAUCGACGGGGAGGUUUGGCACCUCGAUGUCGGCUCAUCGCAUCCUGGGGCUGUAGUUGGUCCCAAGGGUUGGGCUGUUCGCCCAUUAAAGCGGUACGCGAGCUGGGUUCAGAACGUCGUGAGACAGUUCGGUCCCUAUCCGUCGCGGGCGUAGGAAAUUUGAGGGGAGCUGUCUCUAGUACGAGAGGACCGAGAUGGACAUACCGCUGGUGUACCAGUUGUCCCGCCAGGGGCAUCGCUGGGUAGCUAUGUAUGGAUGAGAUAAACGCUGAAAGCAUCUAAGUGUGAAACCGACCUCAAGAUGAAAUUUCCCAUUCCUUUAUGGAAGUAAGACCCCUAAGAGAUGAUUAGGUAGAUAGGCUAGAAGUGGAAGUGCAGUGAUGUAUGGAGCGGACUAGUACUAAUUGGUCGAGGACUUAACC